Molecule: long non-coding RNA, 3633 nt
Organism: Hyalella azteca
Lineage: Eukaryota; Metazoa; Arthropoda; Malacostraca; Amphipoda; Hyalellidae
Exons: 2
Source: RefSeq, a predicted model, not a curated record
CUCUGCUUGGUCUACGCUUCUGUUCAUGAAUUUGUGCUCGUGCUGUACCUGCAAGCAGAGUCUAUCAUUCGAGGCUCUCACUGAGAGCAAAAACAAACUACGCUCUUCACUCAAGAAAAGCCCUGCUGGGCGCACGACUCGUCCAGCAAAGUGAACAACAACUACCGCAGCAGUGGCGACGGCAGCGCAACGAUGGCCUCGGAUGAAGUUUAAUUGAAGCGCAACUUGCGUAAUUAUUUUUCAUCGUCCGAACAAUGCUUCCGCAUCCACUGUCCGACUGUGGGGAUGCUGACCUCGGGUAAACUUUUAGUCUUUAUCACGAUGAAAAAAAAUUGUGUCUCAUAAGUUAUAUAUCCUAACGGAAGUAUUUGAAAAAGUUGUGUGAUGCUCAAACUCCAGCAAGAAGCGGGAAACUCGAGUUGAAAAAUUUAAUAAGAGAUUACGGAAAGUUUAGGUUACGUUGAUACUCUUGUAAAAAAACCAGCAUUAUUGCACACGAAAAUUUUUAUUUGAGAGGGAUAAUUCAUAUAUGUACGCUCUGCAACCAAUACCCAUUAACAUCAACGGUUUAUCGCAUAUGUUACUCUAUCUGAACUGAGGCAUAUUUGGAUAUGAAGCUACGGCCUAUAAAUCGUUGUAUUCAAAUUAAACAUACUACAAGUUUUUCUUUGCCUGAUAACCAUGAUUUUACGGUUUGUAAAUAUUUUUCGGGGUAUAAGAGCUGUAACCACGGCUUGAACGUGUGCUAAUGCUUCAAUUAAAUAUGUUUCAAGUAAGUUUUCCCGAGGUCAGUAUUUUUAAGGUCUUUGCGUUUCUUAACUCCCUCUUCUCUGCUCUGCUGCAACGCGUGUUCAUUGAGAUGUUGCCCGCCUUAACAUGCGUCCAUUACUUACAUUAUUUACAGUAGAAGGGAGCUGUGCUGGACUAUUUCUGUGUUUGGAAUACGUCCUCGUGUGUCGCAACCUUCUUGUUCUUUCGCUGCACCGAAGUAAUGGUGAUUAUGUUGCAUAUCAAUUAUUGAUUUCAAUAUCAGAAGAAAUAGCUUUCUAUGAAAUUUAAACGAUUGAAUCCCCAUGAUAUUAAAUGUCCCAGCAGCAUCUGACGCUACAGUAUAUUAAUACAAAAAAUGAAAUUCAUCUAGUACUGAAAUUCUUUCUGAACGUGAGGAAAGUGACUCUACCAUGUUAUUUAACUGGAAAGCUCUACCAUGCUUGGCUAAGUCUUUUUCAUGUCACUCUAAUUUCAAUCUACUGCGAUAAAGCCUUAGUUACCCGAUUGUGAUUUGCUGAUUUAGUGAGACGAUCUUGAUUUUAUAUUGAAAUGGUUUUAAACUCCGUCAUUUAUUCAUCAUAACUAUAUUGUCUGCAACUUGAGUUAACCAUGUGUAUUUGACUUGCAGGUUGCCCUGAAUUUUUGAACAAAUCGUACAAUUUUUUGGCCCGUUAGAACUUUUUAAUAAUAAUGCUGGAUGUUCAGUAUUGUGUAAUUCAUUACGGUAAAUUUUAAAUAAUCUCCGUUUUCAUGGUGCUAAAUCAUUUAUAUAUCAGAAUUGUUAUAAUUCACACAAUUGCUCAUUGAGUGAUUUUAUGUGUAGACCAAUUGGCUGAGAACUUUGUAAUCUUGCAUCCGGAAUAUAGCAGACAAAAUUGUGUUGGAUUAAAGAGCCAUUCUUAGCUCCCUACAGCGCUGCUAUGCAGGCACUUGGCUGAGCUUUCUUUCCGUGUGCAUAUGUCUAAAUAGCUUAUGAUUUGUGUUGGGAGUAACAUUUGUUAUUGUAAUCACUGUUGCCGUGAAUCGCCCCUUUUUUCGUCUCUGCAGUUGCUCGUCGACAAUGUUUGACAACAAUGACGGAUUGUUACUAUCAUGUUGCGAUGUCGUUCUUGUUCUCACCACACGUGCCUUUAAUCGUAAUGCCUCAAGAUGCCUUUUUCACGUCGUGACUUACCUACCACUCAGAUAAGGUGUUCAUUUUAAAAGUCAUCCAGGAGAAUACACUGUUUAUCGCUGAGUUUCGAUAGGCCGGAUCUGUCAUACUUGAACUUUUUUUUUAGAUACGGUGCUGGGAUUUUCUUAGCUAUUAAGAGCUGCGAAUUAAGUCUCAUGAUUUGCGAGAGUGCAGAGAGUUUAAUCUUAGAACUCUUUGGACCAGUAAUACUUUUUAAUCUAGUCUUUUCAAAACUAUGUUAUUUAUUGAAAGCAUAUAGAUAUUUGUUCUACACUUUGCCCGUAGGUUUAUGAGUCGCCUGAACUAUAUAUGAAAGUACAGUUCAGUAUGGGUACAAAUUUGCACUUUUUCUGACAAAGCAAGUAGUGUUGACAAUAUGCCAUUAGUAUUUGAGAUGUUAUCGGUCAAAUGAAGAGCAGUUAUACUUGAGCGUACACGUUUAAAUCUUAUACUCACCCUUAAUGUGUUUACAAGACGCAUGAAGAAUUGUUCAAGAAUAUAAAAUUCGUCCAUAAGAUGACACAAUCAAUUAUUUCAGUGCGUUAAGGCUUAAUUGUGGCUGAAUUGAUUUUUAAUAUUGGUCCUGCGAAGUGCCUCAGUCCAUGCCUUCUAUAUUUGUACUUGCCUAAUCCUUUGUAGUACUUGCCUAAUCCUAUUUACGAGUGAUGUUCGCAGCAAUGUUUUACUAACUAAUCGAUGCUAAUCGUCUUCGGUGCAAAGGCAGAACCAUUUUAGAAUGAAUUGGUUGUGACCGUGAAUUUGCGGGAUGAAACUUAUUUCUACAGUGAUGACCAUUACAAAUGAAUAAUUAGUAUGACCAGGUUUGGAAUGUGUGGCUAGUCGUUUAUUUAUUCUCAAUGAAUUUCAUUCGCGAUUAAUCAGAAUUUUUUCUCUGCUUAAAAUGCUAAGUUUACAUCGAAUGCUGUUAUUUGUGUAUUCCCUGUAGACGUGUUUAUUUUAAUUCUCGUAAAAUUGAAAUUGCUCGAUAACCGUCACAAAUAUGGUUGUAAAUGACUCGUCCUGUCUUGAUUACCUUUUCUGAAUGUUUGAUCGGUUGUGUUCAGGAACUGUGUAUCCUGGUGAGACUCGUUGUUAGCGUACAUGUAAAAAAAAGUAUCUUUACUCCGAUUGUGCCAAAGUAUGGAACAUAACGUUAGGUGCCGUAGCCUUACAACCCCCAUUGCUGCUUACGUUUCUUGAAGUAAUAAAUCAUAAUUUUUAUCCUAAAAAUAACUUUCACAGGAUGUUAGUCAGGAAAAAAGAUAUAUCUGCACUGGAAAUCCAUUGACUAAAUUAGAUCGUUGCCAAAAAUCUCGUGCUUGAAUUAAUGCAUGAUAACUUUAGAGCUAACUAUUUAAUUCGCUAUCUUAGUGGCCCCUUUUCGUGUCGCACCAUAUUAGUGUCCUAAACAUGACUAUUCGAUUGGCAUUGAUUUUCUCCGAUUUUACCCAUAAGCUGUUGUGUGCAAGGACUUACUACAUAGCACCUCCGACGAUAAAAAAAAUUAGCGAACAUAGAUACUCUGAAUUGGUAAAUGCUUCAUUAUCCUAUCAGUUUGAGAAUUGAGCAAUUAAUUUUGCGCUGGAGCAAUUACUUACACUGAUUCAGUUUUACUUCUGUUAAUGUAUUAUUUGUGUAAAGAUGUAAUUUUGCUUUGUAUUUAUUUUAUAAAAAUGUUGAGAUCUCGA